AUUGAACGCUGGCGGCAGGCCUAACACAUGCAAGUCGAGCGGAUGAAGGGAGCUUGCCCCUGGAUUCAGCGGCGGACGGGUGAGUAAUGCCUAGGAAUCUGCCUGGUAGUGGGGGAUAACGUCCGGAAACGGGCGCUAAUACCGCAUACGUCCUGAGGGAGAAAGUGGGGGAUCUUCGGACCUCACGCUAUCAGAUGAGCCUAGGUCGGAUUAGCUAGUUGGUGGGGUAAAGGCCUACCAAGGCGACGAUCCGUAACUGGUCUGAGAGGAUGAUAAGUCACACUGGAACUGAGACACGGUCCAGACUACUACGGGAGGCAGCAGUGGGGAAUAUUGGACAAUGGGCGAAAGCCUGAUACAGCCAUGCCGCGUGUGUGAAGAAGGUCUUCGGAUUGUAAAGCACUUUAAGUUGGGAGGAAGGGCAGUAAGUUAAUACCUUGCUGUUUUGACGUUACCAACAGAAUAAGCACCGGCUAACUUCGUG
RNAcentral lists this ribosomal RNA (484 nucleotides) under uncultured bacterium. RNAcentral's name for it is "partial 16S ribosomal RNA". It matches the Rfam family "Bacterial small subunit ribosomal RNA", at positions 30 to 507 of the family's 1533-position model. The record is from RNAcentral.